GUUAAAUACGCCUCCAGUGACUGACUUCCUGACAGCCACUAGAGGCACUUCCACUGUGAGAACUACUAAAACUCGGUUCUCACAGUCAAACUCGGUUCUCACAGUCAAACCCAGUUCUCAAAGAUAGCCUCCAUUUCACUGGAUAAAUGCAAUGCUGACAUACAUUGGGUUGAACGAAAAAGAGGAGUCGGCGUGAAAUCAU
Molecule: non-coding RNA, 202 nt
Organism: Pelobates cultripes (western spadefoot toad)
Lineage: Eukaryota; Metazoa; Chordata; Amphibia; Anura; Pelobatidae
Source: the annotation of a GenBank genome assembly